This 597-nucleotide ribosomal RNA is filed under the name Pestalotiopsis disseminata. RNAcentral describes it as "eukaryotic LSU rRNA". It matches the Rfam family "Eukaryotic large subunit ribosomal RNA", at positions 1 to 607 of the family's 3401-position model. The record is from RNAcentral. Lineage: Eukaryota; Fungi; Ascomycota; Sordariomycetes; Amphisphaeriales; Sporocadaceae.
UUGACCUCGGAUCAGGUAGGAAUACCCGCUGAACUUAAGCAUAUCAAUAAGCGGAGGAAAAGAAACCAACAGGGAUUGCCUUAGUAACGGCGAGUGAAGCGGCAACAGCUCAAAUUUGAAAUCUGGCCCUCGGGUCCGAAUUGUAAUUUGUAGAGGAUGAUUUUGGUGCGGUAUCUUCCGAGUUCCUUGGAACAGGACGCCUUAGAGGGUGAGAGCCCCGUACGGUUGAAUGCCUAGCCUCUGUAAAUCUCCUUCGACGAGUCGAGUAGUUUGGGAAUGCUGCUCUAAAUGGGAGGUAAAUUUCUUCUAAAGCUAAAUAUUGGCCAGAGACCGAUAGCGCACAAGUAGAGUGAUCGAAAGAUGAAAAGCACUUUGAAAAGAGGGUUAAAUAGCACGUGAAAUUGUUGAAAGGGAAGGAUUUGUGACCAGACUUUUUCUGGGCGGAUCAUCCGGGGUUCUCUCCGGUGCACUUUGCCCAGUAAAGGCCAGCAUCGAUUUUCGGCGGCGGAUAAAAGCAGUGGGAAUGUGGCUCCCUACGGGGAGUGUUAUAGCCCAUUGUAUAAUACGCUGCUGGGGAUCGAGGUACGCGCUUCUGCA